RNAcentral lists this ribosomal RNA (451 nucleotides) under uncultured bacterium. RNAcentral's name for it is "partial 16S ribosomal RNA". It matches the Rfam family "Bacterial small subunit ribosomal RNA", at positions 29 to 523 of the family's 1533-position model. The record is from RNAcentral.
AACGAACGCUGGCGGCAGGCUUAACACAUGCAAGUCGAACGGGCAUAGCAAUAUGUCAGUGGCAGACGGGUGAGUAACGCGUGGGAAUAUGCCCUUUAGUUCGGAAUAACCAAGGGAAACUUUGGCUAAUACCGGAUAAGCCCGAGAGGGGAAAGAUUUAUCGCUGAAGGAGUAGCCCGCGUCUGAUUAGCUAGUUGGUGAGGUAAUGGCUCACCAAGGCGACGAUCAGUAGCUGGUCUGAGAGGAUGAUCAGCCACACUGGGACUGAGACACGGCCCAGACUCCUACGGGAGGCAGCAGUGGGGAAUAUUGGACAAUGGGGGCAACCCUGAUCCAGCCAUGCCGCGUGAGUGAUGAAGGCCUUAGGGUUGUAAAACUCUUUUAUCCGGGAAGAUAAUGACUGUACCGGAAGAAUAAGCCCCGGCUAACUUCGUGCCAGCAGCCGCCGCUG